AAAGUUACCUUAAAUGGAAGCAUACAUUUUUUGCUGAAAGAAUAAGUGCUUCUCUUUGGGGUAGCCAUA
RNAcentral lists this microRNA precursor (69 nucleotides) under Salmo salar (Atlantic salmon). RNAcentral describes it as "miR-430 microRNA precursor family". It matches the Rfam family "miR-430 microRNA precursor family". The record is from Rfam by way of RNAcentral. Lineage: Eukaryota; Metazoa; Chordata; Actinopteri; Salmoniformes; Salmonidae.